This 955-nucleotide ribosomal RNA is filed under the name uncultured bacterium. RNAcentral's name for it is "bacterial SSU rRNA". It matches the Rfam family "Bacterial small subunit ribosomal RNA", at positions 8 to 995 of the family's 1533-position model. The record is from RNAcentral.
AGAGUUUGAUCCUGGCUCAGAAUCAACGCUGGCGGCGUGCCUAACACAUGCAAGUCGAACGAGAAAGUGGAGCAAUCCAUGAGUAAAGUGGCGACCGGGUGAGUAACACGUGACUAACCUACCUUCGAGUGGGGGAUAACCUCGGGAAACCGAGGCUAAUACCGCAUAACAUCGCAAGAUCAAAGCAGCAAUGCGCUGGAAGAGGGGGUCGCGGCUGAUUAGCUAGUUGGCGGGGUAACGGCCCACCAAGGCGAAGAUCGGUAGCCGGCCUGAGAGGGCGCACGGCCACACUGGAACUGAAACACGGUCCAGACUCCUACGGGAGGCAGCAGUGGGGAAUUUUGCGCAAUGGGGGAAACCCUGACGCAGCAACGCCGCGUGGAGGAUGAAGCCCCUUGGGGCGUAAACUCCUUUCGACCAAGACGAUAAUGACGGUACUGGUGGAAGAAGCACCGGCUAACUCUGUGCCAGCAGCCGCGGUAAUACAGAGGGUGCGAGCGUUGUUCGGAAUUAUUGGGCGUAAAGGGCGCGUAGGCGGUGCCACAAGUCACCUGUGAAAUCCCCGGGCUUAACUCGGGGCCUGCAGGCGAAACUGUGGUGCUGGAGUAUGGGAGAGGUGCGUGGAAUUCCCGGUGUAGCGGUGAAAUGCGUAGAUAUCGGGAGGAACACCUGUGGCGAAAGCGGCGCACUGGACCAUAACUGACGCUGAGGCGCGAAAGCUAGGGGAGCAAACAGGAUUAGAUACCCUGGUAGUCCUAGCCCUAAACGAUGAUUGCUUGGUGUAGCAGGUACCCAAUCCUGCUGUGCCGCAGCUAACGCGAUAAGCAAUCCGCCUGGGGAGUACGGUCGCAAGGCUGAACUCAAAGGGAAUUGACGGGGCCCGCACAAGCGGUGGAGCAUGUGGUUCAAUUCGACGCAACGCGAAGAACCUUACCUGGGCUCGAAAUGCAUUGAC